GGGGGGAUGGCGCAGUGGUUAUGCGCUUCCCUGACAGGCUUCCUGGACUUCACCACAAAGUGCGCAGUUCGAAUCUUGCUUCCCCCG
Non-coding RNA from Ascosphaera aggregata, 87 nucleotides. Lineage: Eukaryota; Fungi; Ascomycota; Eurotiomycetes; Onygenales; Ascosphaeraceae. The record is from the annotation of a GenBank genome assembly.